RNAcentral lists this ribosomal RNA (139 nucleotides) under uncultured bacterium. Its description in RNAcentral is "partial 16S rRNA". It matches the Rfam family "Bacterial small subunit ribosomal RNA", at positions 355 to 511 of the family's 1533-position model. The record is from RNAcentral.
UGGGGAAUUUUCCGCAAUGGGCGAAAGCCUGACGGAGCAAUGCCGCGUGGAGGUGGAAGGCCUACGGGUCGUCAACUUCUUUUCUCGGAGAAGAAACAUGACGGUAUCUGAGGAAUAGCAUCGGCUAACUCUGUGCUAG